UACCUCUCGGAGUAUUGGCUGCCAGACUGACCCCUUCCUAAAAGAUCUGUUGGAACCCAACUAUCCAAGGACACUACUAAGACUCAGAGGUACUAAGCAGAGACUCUAUCUCUCAGCAUCCCACUUGAAUGAGAAUGCCAACCGGCCACAGUCAAAAGUGCUCCGGGAGAUCCUGACCUUAAACUGGCCUUCCCAAAAGCGAAGAAAUGGGGAUACAGCCUCAAAUGAAGGAAGAUUGAGCUGACAUUCUGCUAUGUGUUGUCCCUGACCCAGCACCUUUUACUGAAGAGCUGCAGAAGAUCACCAUUCCAGAGGAUCUCAGCGCUGAGCCAGUCAGAGCUCAGGUUGUUGCAACUGUUAUUAUCGGACUAUUUCUACUACAGUUCAUAUCACUAAAGAACAGUAGGUUCUGUCCCAGGUUUCUGCCUGUUAAAAGGAAGUUUUUCCUCGCCACUGUCACACCAAAUGCUUGCUCUUGGGGGAAUUGUUGGGUCUCUUUAAAUAAAAUUGAAUUGAACAUUUAUAUGCUUCUGUUGGCAAUUGUUUCUCUGCUGUGGCCCUCACACGUCUUGGUGUUGUAAAACAGGAAUUCAACUUCGGGCGGCAUCCACUCACAAUGUCCACAUGUGCACCUGUAGUAACAUUAAACAUCAACUGAAGCAUGAAACAAGAAAAGUACGUCAAUUGGUUUAAUUCAAUGAAAACAAUUUGAAUGCAUUUGUAAACAAAAAAAUCACUUUAAUACUUGAUCUGGGUGUUUUCAAAUAUUUAGUACUGACUGGAGAAUGUAUAUGAACAUUAUGUUUGAACAUUACAUAUGAACGACAUUGCGAAGACCGAGGUAAGAACAUUAAUAUCUGUAGUAAUUUCCUUCAUAUUCGUAAAUUCUGGUACAUAUGAAACUACAAAUAAGGUCGUACUAUAUUGUCUACCGGCGGUCCCAGGGGACCUCCAUGCUGCUGACACCGCUGCCUUUUCCAGGCAACAGCGGUGCACACAGAGCCGGGAUAACAGGUGGGCGUGUGUCAGGUAACGCUAUGUGCCGUGCACCGGAAUAUAAACAGACCCAUCACGACAGUAUGAUAAUAACAUGAAAACACAUCAUUCACUCUAAGUGGUUUCUGUGACUUUCAAAGAUUUAAAACCCAAAAGACGCCAAAAAUACACAGCCACCAUACAACGUUAGCCUUAGCCCCAAAUAGCCACAUCACUGAAGACACACUUGUCUAACGUUAGCUGACUAUGUCUAAAGCGUUACAUACUAAAAUAAAAACACAAUCAACUUACCACUCUGAAACGUCCUGCUGACCAGAAAUGCUAAAAUAAAUGAAUUGGUCCUCUUCACUUGAAUCCUCUGAACUUGAGUAUUCAGGCUCUAACUGGUAAGGUCUUGCAGAUCCUGCAGCCAUGUUCAUAGUAGGAUUCUGAUUCCAGGCCGCAUUCUAUGUUUAUCUGUGCUUAGCCAAUCAGAGCGUUCGGCUCUUUAGUUGUAGGCUGAACAUUCCAUCCAGCAGGUAAUCCAAGCGUGUGUGGGAGGGGAGAAAAAGGGCUCUCAGAAAAGUUUGGGAAAAUCAACCCAACUCUUUUUUUGGGGUAACACUAUUAAAUUAGUGUUUAAUAGACACAUAUGAACGGUACAAAUAUAAGUUUAAGUGUCACCAUAUGGGACCUUUAAGUAAAAGUAUGUAAGUA
Perca fluviatilis (European perch) is the source of this 1692-nucleotide long non-coding RNA. RefSeq lists it as uncharacterized. The record is from RefSeq and is a predicted model, not a curated record. Lineage: Eukaryota; Metazoa; Chordata; Actinopteri; Perciformes; Percidae. The transcript is spliced from 3 exons.